CAAUAGCGUAUAUUUAAGUUGUUGCAGUUAAAAAGCUCGUAGUUGGAUUUCGGAUGGGAUUUGCCGGUCCGUCGUUACGAUGUGCACUGGCCAGUCCUAUCUUGUUGUCGGGGACUAGCUCCUUGGAUUCACUUCCUGGGACUAGGAGCUGACGAGGUUACUUUGAGUAAAUUAGAGUGUUCAAAGCAAGCCUACGCUCUGAAUACAUUAGCAUGGAAUAACACGAUAGGACUCUGGCUUAUCUUGUUGGUCUGUGAGACCAGAGUAAUGAUUAAGAGGGACAGUCGGGGACAUUCGUAUUUCAUUGUCAGAGGUGAAAUUCUUGGAUUUAUGAAAGACGAACUUCUGCGAAAGCGUCUGCCAAGGAUGUUUUCAUUGA
Molecule: ribosomal RNA, 379 nt
Filed under: uncultured eukaryote
Lineage: Eukaryota
Description: partial 18S ribosomal RNA
Rfam family: Eukaryotic small subunit ribosomal RNA
Source: RNAcentral